RNAcentral lists this ribosomal RNA (206 nucleotides) under uncultured bacterium. RNAcentral's name for it is "partial 16S ribosomal RNA". It matches the Rfam family "Bacterial small subunit ribosomal RNA", at positions 568 to 774 of the family's 1533-position model. The record is from RNAcentral.
CGCGCAGGCGGCCUUUUAAGUCUGAUGUGAAAGCCCCCGGCUCAACCGGGGAGGGUCAUUGGAAACUGGAAGGCUUGAGUACAGAAGAGAAGAGUGGAAUUCCAUGUGUAGCGGUGAAAUGCGUAGAGAUGUGGAGGAACACCAGUGGCGAAGGCGACUCUUUGGUCUGUAACUGACGCUGAGGCGCGAAAGCGUGGGAGCAAACA